AGGGUUUGAUCAUGGCUCAGGAUGAACGCUAGCUACAGGCUUAACACAUGCAAGUCGAGGGGAAACGGCAUUAAGUGUUUGCACUCUUUGGACGUCGACCGGCGCACGGGUGAGUAACGCGUAUCCAACCUUCCCGUUACUGUGGGAUAACCUGCCGAAAGGCAGACUAAUACCGCAUAGUCUUCGAUGACGGCAUCAGAUUUGAAGUAAAGAUUUAUCGGUAAUGGAUGGGGAUGCGUCUGAUUAGCUUGUUGGCGGGGUAACGGCCCACCAAGGCGACGAUCAGUAGGGGUUCUGAGAGGAAGGUCCCCCACAUUGGAACUGAGACACGGUCCAA
Molecule: ribosomal RNA, 337 nt
Filed under: uncultured bacterium
Lineage: Bacteria
Description: bacterial SSU rRNA
Rfam family: Bacterial small subunit ribosomal RNA
Source: RNAcentral